Gallus gallus (chicken) is the source of this 1143-nucleotide long non-coding RNA. RefSeq lists it as uncharacterized. The transcript has 3 exons. Lineage: Eukaryota; Metazoa; Chordata; Aves; Galliformes; Phasianidae. The record is from RefSeq and is a predicted model, not a curated record.
GGCAGCUCACAUUUUAGGAGUUUCCUAUUAUAGAUGUCAUUCCCAAUGGUUAAUAACUCAUCCAAGCAUGACUUGAGUAGCCCACAUCAUCAAUAUUAAAUGUGACAUUUACUAUCAAGAACAAAGUUUUGGGGCUGCUGCCAGCCCCGCUCACUGAGCUGUAAAUAUUUUGAUCAUCAAAGAAGAGGAAGAAGGAAGGAGCUGAUCAGCCUGUGCUCACACCCAAUAGACAUGGGGAGGAAUUAGAUGCUUGCACAGAGCCCCAAGGGCUCAGUGACUGCAGAAGCACCCUUGGGUGGGUGAAGUCAAGGCAGGUAGCAGUGCUCAGUGGCGCUAUGGAGACCGGAAUUCUGCUGAGUGUGCAAAUGGGUGCAGGGGAGCAGUGCAGGAAUCCCUCCUGGCCUCAAACCCCCCACAUACCAAGAGGUCCCUUGAAUGGGAUCACAUCACCUUCUCUCCUGCAUAACAGCCAGUCUGGCAACAAAUGCAUGCAAUAAUUUGACCCCUUUGACCUUUACACGUAUGAUUUGCUCACGGCUGUGUUCAGCCUGGAGCUGCAGUUGUCUGGGACGUCUGAACAUUAACUAAGUCACACACAUUCUUUUAUGUCUGUAAACAUUUUGGUGCCUCCAUGUUUACUAUGCAAUGCUGUUGCUAUAGCUACUUUACAGUUGGGUCUGUUUGUUGCAGCACUGCUAAAUAUUACACGAAGGUACAAAACCAAGAAACUGCUCUUCUUUAAAAUGAGCUGUCACUGUUAUACUGACACAGAGCAGUGAGAGUGCAGAGCUCAAGAGAAGAAAGGCCUUUGGCAUUAACUGGGACAAGUCUAACCACUGCAAACACACUUCUCUUCCACAGAGCAGCAAAUGGGUGUGGGAAGCUUUCAUACCAAGAGGGGACUUAAAUCACAGGUCAGGGCAGUGCUGUGCCUUGUCUGCUGCCUGUCCAUCUCCUGAAGUGGAGGUGGAGUGGAGCCUUUGGUCCAGCUGAGUCCAUGAAAUUGAGGGGGAGGAUUUCUGGAGAAGCACCAGGCGUGUUUUCAUGACGAUGACCUUCUAAUUAGACAUGACAAAUAAGUACAGAAGGUCUCAUUGUUAUGGAGUGGUGCUGUAUAAUAAAGACUGCAAAUACCAAAUAGCU